GAUGAACGCUGGCGGCGUGCUUAACACAUGCAAGUCGAACGAUGAAGCCCAGCUUGCUGGGUGGAUUAGUGGCGAACGGGUGAGUAACACGUGAGUAACCUGCCCUUGACUCUGGGAUAAGCCUGGGAAACUGGGUCUAAUACUGGAUAUGACUUCUCAUCGCAUGGUGGGGGGUGGAAAGAUUUAUUGGUCUUGGAUGGACUCGCGGCCUAUCAGCUUGUUGGUGAGGUAAUGGCUCACCAAGGCGACGACGGGUAGCCGGCCUGAGAGGGUGACCGGCCACACUGGGACUGAGACACGGCCCAGACUCCUACGGGAGGCAGCAGUGGGGAAUAUUGCACAAUGGGCGCAAGCCUGAUGCAGCGACGCCGCGUGGGGGAUGACGGCCUUCGGGUUGUAACCCUCUUUCAGUAGGGAAGAAGCGAGAGUGACGGUACCUGCAGAAGAAGCGCCGGCUAACUACGUG
RNAcentral lists this ribosomal RNA (466 nucleotides) under uncultured bacterium. RNAcentral's name for it is "partial 16S ribosomal RNA". It matches the Rfam family "Bacterial small subunit ribosomal RNA", at positions 28 to 507 of the family's 1533-position model. The record is from RNAcentral.